CCUACGGGUGGCAGCAGUGAGGAAUAUUGGUCAAUGGGCGCAAGCCUGAACCAGCCAUGCCGCGUGCAGGAAGAAUGCCCUAUGGGUUGUAAACUGCUUUUAUUUGGGAAUAAACCUCUUUACGUGUAGAGAGCUGAAGGUACCAAAUGAAUAAGCACCGGCUAACUCCGUGCCAGCAGCCGCGGUAAUACGGAGGGUGCAAGCGUUAUCCGGAAUCAUUGGGUUUAAAGGGUCCGCAGGCGGAUUUAUAAGUCAGUGGUGAAAUCCUAUCGCUUAACGAUAGAACUGCCAUUGAUACUGUAAGUCUUGAAUUCGGUCGGAGUGGGCGGAAUGUGUAGUGUAGCGGUGAAAUGCAUAGAUAUUACACAGAACACCGAUAGCGAAGGCAGCUCACUAGGCCUGAAUUGACGCUCAGGGACGAAAGCGUGGGGAUCAAACAG
This 440-nucleotide ribosomal RNA is filed under the name uncultured bacterium. Its description in RNAcentral is "bacterial SSU rRNA". It matches the Rfam family "Bacterial small subunit ribosomal RNA", at positions 338 to 775 of the family's 1533-position model. The record is from RNAcentral.